CUACGUGCCAGCAGCCGCGGUAAUACGGAGGAUGCGAGCGUUAUCCGGAUUUAUUGGGUUUAAAGGGUGCGUAGGCGGCCUGUUAAGUCAGCGGUGAAAUCUAGGAGCUUAACUCCUAAAUUGCCAUUGAUACUGGCGGGCUUGAGUGUAGAUGAGGUAGGCGGAAUGCGUGGUGUAGCGGUGAAAUGCUUAGAUAUCAUGAAGAACUCCGAUUGCGAAGGCAGCAUACGGGAGUGUAACUGACGCUUAAGCUCGAAGGUGCGGGUAUCGAACAGGAUUAGAUACCCUAGUAGUCCACGCCGUAAACGAUGAAUACUAAGUAUUGGGGAAACUCAGUGCUGCAGCUAACGCAAUAAGUAUUCCGCCUGUGGAGUAUGCACGCAAGUGUGAAACAUAAAGGAAUUGACGGGGGCCCGCACAAGCGGUGGAGUAUGUGGUUUAAUUCGACGCAACGCGAAGAACCUUACCAGGCCUUGACAUCCCUUGCAAAGCUGUAGAGAUA
Molecule: ribosomal RNA, 502 nt
Filed under: uncultured bacterium
Lineage: Bacteria
Description: bacterial SSU rRNA
Rfam family: Bacterial small subunit ribosomal RNA
Source: RNAcentral